GGAAGAAACCGAGGAGACAUUAAAACCACUUGAGAAAGAGCUUCAAAACAAGAAGUUCUUUGGAGGAAAUAAAAUUGGAAUUGUGGACAUUGUUGGAACUGUAAUUGCAUAUUGGAUCCCAGCCAUUGAAGAAGCUUUUGGAUUUGAGCUGUUAACAACAAAAAAGUUUCCAAAGUUAACCAAAUGGAGUGAAGAGAUUGUAAACAACAGUGUGGUGAAGCAGGUUUUGCCCCCAAAAUCUAACCUUGUGGCCUACUUGCAAACUGUUUUAACAACCAAAUAGAAGAUUGGUUGCUUUCUUUUGUAUCUUCAAUAGACCACCUGGCUUAUGUAGUAAAAUAAAUCUCUAACCCUUUUGGUAAGGUUGAGAAUGUACUCUUACUGAAUGUUUU
RNAcentral lists this long non-coding RNA (392 nucleotides) under Cucumis sativus (cucumber). Its description in RNAcentral is "long non-coding RNA (CSAT_LNC001590)". The record is from RNAcentral. Lineage: Eukaryota; Viridiplantae; Streptophyta; Magnoliopsida; Cucurbitales; Cucurbitaceae.